Molecule: ribosomal RNA, 235 nt
Filed under: uncultured Staphylococcus sp.
Lineage: Bacteria; Bacillati; Bacillota; Bacilli; Caryophanales; Staphylococcaceae
Description: partial 16S ribosomal RNA
Rfam family: Bacterial small subunit ribosomal RNA
Source: RNAcentral
GGUGAGUAACACGUGGAUAACCUACCUAUAAGACUGGGAUAACUACGGGAAACCGGAGCUAAUACCGGAUAAUAUAUUGAACCGCAUGGUUCAAUAGUGAAAGACGGUUUUGCUGUCACUUAUAGAUGGAUCCGCGCCGCAUUAGCUAGUUGGUAAGGUAACGGAUUACCAAGGCAACGAUGCGUAGCCGACCUGAGAGGGUGAUCGGCCACACUGGAACUGAGACACGGUCCAG